AUGAUCAAGAAGUACAUAAGUUGUGAACCUUAUUUGGUGGUAGAGAUGAUAGAUGACGACAUAGAGUUCCUUGUGUUGGCUAGUCAUGGAAUAUGGAAGGCGAUGUCCAACCAACAAGUUUGAAUUCUACUAGAAGCAUAAAGAAUACCGAGAAAGCAGCAAAACAACUCACUAAACAGGCAUUAAAUGUUGGGACCUAUUGUUGUUACUUUGAUAUUUCUUGUUUAGUUGUAAGAUUUUGGUGAUUUUUUAAUGCAAGAUUUUUAUCAUAUAUCAUAUGAUGUAUGAUGUCAUGCUUAUUUAUGAUAUUUUUAUUCUCUCCAAUUUGUAAUUAAUUUAACCUCGAAAAAGAUAUAAGCUUCAAAAAGAUACCAAUAAGCUUGUUUGUUGUCCGAUUUAAAACAUCUUAAUUAAUUAAGAAUAAACGCUUAACUAAACAAAGAGUUUUUGUAAUUCCCUGAAAUGGUUGUUUUCAAUUUGCUUUGGAGAGAUAAUGAAGAUGAGGGAAUAUGAAGGAGAAUGAAGGGACAUGAUGAUCAACUUCUACAAUCACUGUGCAUGCUACAGGAAGCAUGCUUUCACCAUUUAUCACCACAACUAUUCUCACCCAUGCAAUCCUCUCCAUGAAAACGAUUGCCAUAAUGAAAAUCUUAGUUGUGGUGGCGAAGGAAAAAGUUGGGCUAGAUUCAUAAAAUAAAAAUAUAGUUUUACACAUCAUGUAAUCCGAAUGUGCAACCAAACGCAUUUGGCUUGGUCUUCCCCCAAGGCAACACAACAUUGGCGCAACAUUCCUUUUCAUCUCUUCUUUGUUUUGGCUUAUAUGGAGAGAAGUGGUUUUGUGGGGUCUUUGGUAGGAGACUGUGGACUGAAACUCGAGGGUCUUUAGCUACAACAAAGUUCUUAGCAGUGCGUCCUAUAUAUUUGGAAUGAAGCUUUUCAUUUGUGUGUUUUUGUUUUUGCCUGGUUUGCUUUCCGAUUAGGGUGAUUAGUCCAACUUCAUUUGGGUCGUAUACUACUUAUCAUUAACCGAGAAAUUAUUGUAUAUAAUAGUAAAAUCAAUACGAAUAAUUGUACACAUGUUUUUUUUUUUCAGAAAUCUUGUGGGUACGAGAAAAUUUUUAUCGAUAAAAGGGGCUUACAAUCUGUUGACGAAGAGUCCUAA
This 1162-nucleotide long non-coding RNA is filed under the name Prunus dulcis (almond). RNAcentral's name for it is "sRNA ncRNA". The record is from RNAcentral. Lineage: Eukaryota; Viridiplantae; Streptophyta; Magnoliopsida; Rosales; Rosaceae.